UGGGGAAUAUUGGACAAUGGGCGCAAGCCUGAUCCAGCCAUGCCGCGUGAGUGACGAAGGCCUUAGGGUUGUAAAGCUCUUUUGGCGGGGAAGAUAAUGACGGUACCCGCAGAAUAAGCUCCGGCUAACUUCGUGCCAGCAGCCGCGGUAAUACGAAGGGAGCUAGCGUUGUUCGGAAUCACUGGGCGUAAAGCGCACGUAGGUGGGCAGUUAAGUCAGGGGUGAAAGCCCGAGGCUCAACCUCGGAAUUGCCUCUGAUACUGGCUGUCUAGAGUUCGAGAGAGGUGAGUGGAAUUCCUAGUGUAGAGGUGAAAUUCGUAGAUAUUAGGAAGAACACCGGUGGCGAAGGCGGCUCACUGGCUAGAUACUGACACUGAGGUGCGAAAGCGUGGGGAGCAAACAGGAUUAGAUACCCCCGUAGUCCCUGAGCGGGCUGGCAAGGCGCAU
RNAcentral lists this ribosomal RNA (447 nucleotides) under uncultured bacterium. RNAcentral describes it as "bacterial SSU rRNA". It matches the Rfam family "Bacterial small subunit ribosomal RNA", at positions 355 to 825 of the family's 1533-position model. The record is from RNAcentral.